UACAGAGGUCACAAGCGUUAUCCGGAUUUAUUGGGCGUAAAGCGUUUCGUAGGUGGGUUAGUAAGUUACCCUUCAAAGACCACGGCUCAACCGGGGGAAGGGGGGUAAGACUACUAGUCUUGAUAUUUGGUGGGGCUUCUGGAACUGAUGGUGUAGUAGUGAAAUACGUUGAUAUCAUCAGGAACUCCAAGGGCGAAGGCAGGAAGCUAACCAAUUUAUGACACUGAGGAACGACAGCUAGGGGAGCGAAAGGG
RNAcentral lists this ribosomal RNA (254 nucleotides) under uncultured bacterium. RNAcentral describes it as "partial 16S ribosomal RNA". It matches the Rfam family "Bacterial small subunit ribosomal RNA", at positions 524 to 776 of the family's 1533-position model. The record is from RNAcentral.